Molecule: long non-coding RNA, 799 nt
Filed under: Selaginella moellendorffii
Lineage: Eukaryota; Viridiplantae; Streptophyta; Lycopodiopsida; Selaginellales; Selaginellaceae
Description: long non-coding RNA (SMOE_LNC001166)
Source: RNAcentral
UGGAACAGGCCUGUGGAUUUGCCUGCACAGACGACGAGAUAUCCGGACUAAGUCGCUACUCGGGACUCGGGAUUUGUACCUUUCCUGGAGGUGAGAGUGGUGGUGGUCUUUUUUUUUUUUCUUUCUUUUCGCUUUUGGGAAGUACUCAGGAAUCGUUUUCCUCCAGGCACGUCCUUGAUUCGAUCCCAGCGCUGCUGCUGCUACUCCCCUGCGCUCCUCUGGUGGAGUUUGAAGAAGAGAUAAGCAAGCGUUGUGGAGGUAAAUUCAAGGGAGUGAUGGGGAAAGGAAAAGAGGGAGAGUGGUGGAUUUGGCCGCGAAUGCUAAGCACGGGGUCCUUAUAAUGCCCCUCUUCUCUCUCGUUAAGUUCUUUUCCUCGCUCCACUCACUUUGCAAUCAAUUGCAGGCACCAAAGCUGGCUGGCCAUGGCUGGUGGGGCUCAUCAAAGUGUGUUGGAGAAGACAGGCAAAAGAGAAGAUGGAUGGGGGCCAAAAGAGAAAGAAAAAAAGUUUAGAACAAGCCAGCAGCACUGAGCAACAGCACCAACACACACUACUACUUACACGGCCAGCGAAGUCAAUGGGUGGAAUUAAUGUGAGGGGAUUGAUUCGCUCAUCGUCUUCUCCCCAGGAAUUUCUUAUAAGCGCGACGACCUGCGUUUGUUCGUAGUUGGUGGUGUUGUUGCGCGGGCAUUGAAUGCCACAAAGGGAUCUUCGCGUUGACUUCUCCGUCAAUGGUGGUCAAAAUUGGUCAAUGCCCUAGCCCCGAGUAAUUUCUCGUGGACGCGUUGACUCCUCUGGUC